This is an RNA transcript of Chroicocephalus ridibundus (black-headed gull), 5181 nucleotides long. It is a transcript of the gene named BUD13 homolog, with no coding region annotated. The transcript has 16 exons. The record is from RefSeq and is a predicted model, not a curated record. NCBI's taxonomy places the organism in Eukaryota, Metazoa, Chordata, Aves, Charadriiformes, Laridae.
CUUCCGGCCGGGCGCCAUGAUGGCGGCGCAGGGGCUCUCCAAGGCCGAGUACCUGCGGCGCUACCUGAGCGGGCCGCCCGCCGCCGAGCCCGCCCAGCCCCGCCGCCGCCGCAAGAAGAAGCCGCCGGGCGGCGCCGGCAGAGCCGGGAUGCGGAUCGUGGAUGACGAUGUCAGCUGGAAUAGCAUCGCUGCUGUCCCGGAGAAGGAGGAGGAGGAGGACGAAGGGGACAUGCCUGUGGUGGCAGAAUUUAUUGAUGAGCGUCCAGAUGAAGUGAAGCUCAUGGAGGAAUUCCGAACAAAUGCUAAAUGGAAACUUUUAGGAGACCAGAAUGAAGACUCACAAAGUUCGGAUAUUUCAGCCCAAUCUACCAUGAGGCGACAGCGCCAUGACUCCCCGGACAACUCGCCACCAAGGAGACUGCGGCACGACUCCCCAGCCAAAUCACCUCCCAGGCGACAGCGCCACGACUCCCCGGACCUGUCACCUCCCAGGCGACAGCGCCACGACUCCCCGGACCUGUCACCUCCCAGGCGACAGCGCCACGACUCCCCGGACCCCUCCCUGCCAAGAAGGAAGCGCCACGACUCCCCGGACCUGUCACCUCCCAGGCGACAGCGCCACGACUCCCCGGACCUGUCACCUCCCAGGCGACAGCGCCACGACUCCCCAGACCCCUCCCUGCCAAGAAAGAAGCGCCAUGACUCCCCGGACCCCUCCCUGCCAAGAAAGAAGCGCCACGACUCCCCGGACCUGUCACCUCCCAGGCGACAGCGCCACGACUCCCCGGACCUGUCACCUCCCAGGCGACAGCGCCACGACUCCCCGGACCUGUCACCUCCCAGGCGACAGCGCCACGACUCCCCGGACCUGUCACCUCCCAGGCGACAGCGCCACGACUCCCCGGACCUGUCACCUCCCAGGCGACAGCGCCACGACUCCCCGGACCUGUCACCUCCCAGGCGACAGCGCCACGACUCCCCGGACCUCUCCCUGCCAAGAAAGAAGCGCCACGACUCCCCGGACCUCUCCCUGCCAAGAAAGAAGCGCCACGACUCCCCGGACCUCUCCCUGCCAAGAAAGAAGCGCCACGACUCCCCGGACCUGUCCCCUCCCAGGCGACAGCGCCACGACUCCCCGGACCUGUCCCCUCCCAGGCGACAGCGCCACGACUCCCCGGACCUGUCCCCUCCCAGGCGACAGCGCCACGACUCUCCUGACAUCUCUCCAAAGAGAGUCAGGUUAGCAAUGGGGAAAAAGGGCUGCAAAACCACAGACAAGUCACAGCCAAGGGGUGUCCGAGGAGAGCAAUCUCAGCUUAGGCACGACGUCUCUGACAAGUCCGCGUCGCGUCAGAAGCGUCAGGCUACUCCAGAUCUGUCCCCUCCACGGAAGAAGAGGUAUGAUUCCGACCCAGAUUUGUCACCGCCUCGGACAAAGAGGACUGGGUCACCUAGUCUGAAAAAGCAGAGUGGAACAAAAGGUGCUUCUCCAGCCACAAAAAAGCUUAGGCUGGUGCCCUCGCCCCAGAGGUGCCUGAGGCAUGACUCUGAGUCUCCGUCUCCACGGCGGGGUAGCCGGAACGCCUCUGAUGCAGACCGCAGGCUAGGCCACGUGCGCAGCGAUUCCCCUAAGCGUGGGCCUCUCAAACAGAAUCGGAGCAAGUCUUCAGACUCUGAUUUGUCGCCUCCCCGACGGACUCUGCCAGCCGGAAAGGAUCAGCACAGUUCAAGGAGUUCCCCUGACCUCUCGCCUCAUCGCCACCGGGACACUAAGGGAUCUCCCAAGAAGGCAAACGUGAUGUCGUCUGGGGUCAAAGCUGGCUUGGUGUCAGCUGAUGUGCUGCGGAGGGAACAGCAGGAGCUCAGGAGGCAUGAGAGAAAUAACAAGCACUUGGAAGAGGAAUCCCGAUACUCGGAGACCGUCUUCCGAGACAAAUCAGGCCGCAAGAGGGACCUGGCGCAGGAGCAGCUGGAGCAGAGGCAGAAAGCUGAAGCGCAGUCCAAGAGAGACGAGCAAUACGCCAAAUGGGGAAAAGGGCUGGCGCAGGGGAGGCAACAGCAGCAGAACGUGGAAGAUGCCAUAAAAGAGAUGCAGAAGCCAUUGGCUCGUUAUAUUGACGAUCAGGAUCUGGACCGAAUGCUGAGAGAACAAGAGAGAGAGGGAGACCCCAUGGCUGAAUUCAUCAAAAAAAGGAAGGCCAAAGAGAACAAAGAAAAGAAAGAAAAGCCUAGGUACAACGGACCAGCACCUCCACUCAACAGAUUCAAUAUAUGGCCCGGGCAUUGCUGGGAUGGUGUGGACAGGUCCAACGGAUUUGAGCAACAGCGCUUUGCCAGGAUAGCCAACAAGAAGGCGGUUCAGGAGCUUGCGUACAAGUGGAGCGUUGAGGACAUGUAGACAAAGAAGAGCCACGCAGAGCAGCGCUCCUGAAGUGAUGCUACGGAGGCAGAGGUUCACCUGCUGCCACUGCCAGAGCUGUGAGGAGUGGCUCGCUCUGCCUGGACCAAGCCCUGUCCUCGGCAUUCCGCAUCCCAGUGGACCGUCUUCUGAGAGGCAAGGUUGAAUUUAGAGGAAAGCUGCCGACAGAGGAUUUUCCUGUCAGCCAGAGAGGCCGAGCACAGAGAACUGCAGUGGCGCUGCUUGAAGCAGCACGGCGGCUGAGCGUGGAGGAGAGCUGCCUGCAGGAGCACCUCAAUUCCCCGGCGCUCCCCCGUAAGGUGCUGCAGACACCGGUUUCUGCGGCUCCGAGUCGCGGAUGCUCGGCGGAGCCCGGUGGCUGUGUAACCUGUCCCGGGCUUGGAGCGGGGGGCGCCGGGGGGUCCCGGGAGAAGCGUUUCACCCGGCGGCUCCGUCCCGCAGCCGGCAGCGGGACCGGGAACCAAAAUCCCCGGCACUGGCAGUCUUGGUGGAAAUAACUUUGCAGCUCCCAGUUAAUGAAUAUUUGUAAAUGCAAGAACAUUCGGCGCCGGAAUAUCCAGAGGGCAUCCUCUCUCUGCCUGGUGCUGAACCUCCCCCGGCAGUUCCGGGCCACAACCGCUCCGUCCCCAGGGCAGUUGGGAUGUCGGCGCCGGACACGGUUUCGGGAUGAUUUAGCGCAAUCUCCAGCAAUUUGUUACACCUAAGCGGAGGCAGAUGUGCAUCCAUAUUCAUUUUGGAGCGACUUCAGAAGUUAUAACUUCAUCGGCCGAGCCAGCCCGCCGCGCAGCCCGCCAGCCUGGGCUCCCGUUCAAGCCGAGAAGGUGGGGACGGGGACGAGGACUUGUCCUUCGGCGUCCACCUGGUCCCCUCGGCGGCCGGGCAGAGGCUUUGUGGCCGGGGAUCGCCGGCUGGAGGAAUGAGGACCUUCCAGCAUCGCCUGCGGGGAGCCCGAGCUGCUCCGGCUCCGGCCAGGGUCCGCCUUACCCCCUCCCCGCUGCCCGCGAGCUUCGGGACCCUCGCUGGGCUGCCGGGCUGUAAUCCCAGGGUGCUGCGGAGCCCACGGCCGCGUCCCGGGGGCUGAGGGGAGGGAUGGCAGCAGCGGUGGCCGACGGCAGCGUGUGGCAGGACCCUCUGCCCGCGUGCCCCUGGGGCCAGGUGCGCUUGGCUGCCCCGCAGCAGAGCCGGCCACUGCAGUGCCGGGACAUUGGCCGAAGCCGGCGCCGGGAGGUCCCCAGCCCUGGCAGCGGACAUGGGGACACCGCAUCCCUCCGUCAGCCGGUGCUGCUGCAGUGGGAACUCCGCUGUGCCAGGCGGGCGAGGACGGCACCCCCCACGCGCACUACGGCGUCUGGCCCCGGCGAUGGGACGCUCUUGCGGCUUCACCCCAGCACCGGGAAGGGCUUCUCCUGCACCGCCACCUCCUGCCCUGCCGCCGCCAGGAAUCUCCAUCCAGGAUGGUUUUCCCGAUGCCAGCGCUGCCCCCCGAGCCGGCAGCACCCCCUGGCCACCUGCCCUCGCGGGGAGCGCAAGGAAAUCAUGUUUAUUUGCAAAUAGGGAUGCUGUGGAGCCAAAUGAGGGAGAUUAUUAGGGGCUCCUGGAAUUGUCAGCGCGGGCUGUUGAAUUAGAGCGCAGCCGUAACGCUCGUCAUCGCCCCGGUGCUGGGCGCUGACGUGGGGCUCCGUGCCCCCGGGCUUCCCCGCCACAAGGAGCGCGGCGCAGCCGGCUCUCUCCCCAGCUCCCUCAUCAAAUACCUGCUCGAGACGCUCAAGGUUAGCGCGGUGGGGGUCAGCCGCGCGCAAACGUUGAUUACAGAGUCGGCAGGAGCUGCUAAGAUUUCUAAUUAAGAUUAAAGAAUGCACACGGCUUAUAAAUGCUUCUUAGGAAUGUAUAAUUUGAUUAGCUUGUUUUCUCGCAUCCCUUUCGCCCCCGAGUUGGCUCAGGCGGCCCCUUGCCGGGGGGUCCCGGCUGCAGCCGCCCCUCGCCCCCUGCCAGCCCUGGGGGCGCGGAGCGGGGGCUCCCACGCCGCUGCCGCAGCAUCCCGGGCAGGAGCGGCCCUGCCAAGCCUCCCCAUGAAGGUUUUUCACGGCGGGCAGGGUCCCACGGCCAGGUGCCGUGCCCCUUCGGAGCCGGUGGCAGCCCACGAGCCCCUGGCCUGGCGCUCGGGGGGAGCUUGGACUCGAUUCCCGCACCAGGAGGGCCACCAGUGUCCCCCGCCCGCCACCGGUCCUGGUCCCAGCCCGUCGGCGGGCUCAGGGCAAGCCCGGAGCUGGGGAAGAGCUUUCCACUCGACGUACCUGAGCGGGGGGACAGCUGUGCAUCAAUAUUUAUUCCAAACUCCCAGGAAACCUGGAUGAAGCGUAAUUAUCUCAGCUCAAUCAACCCGGAUUAGCAUAACAUCGAGUCACCCAUCAGACGGGGGUUUGGUUUCUGGGAUCAAAGCCGCAUGCUGUAGCCACCGAUUAAGCGGGUGCGGGCUGGGGGCGGGGGGCAGGAGAAGAAAGCCGCGGCCCCGGCUGCUUCCCUAUUCCCGUUGUUGCCAAGUUCACUUUUUCCUCCCAAACUUCCCUGGGGCAUCGCGGGAAGCGGCUCCCCCAACCCAUCGAGCUGCACGGGAUCGCUCCCCGCGCAGCGUCUAACCCCCCAGCUCCACUCCCCUUAAUUAAGAACUAAAUAUAGAUGUUAAUUAAGGCACUGAUGAAUUUAAUUUAGAGUGGCAUUACUGCCUUAACUUCCAGAGCUCGACGCCUUGUUUGUAUAAUGUA